RNAcentral lists this long non-coding RNA (1522 nucleotides) under Sarcophilus harrisii (Tasmanian devil). RNAcentral describes it as "lncRNA (ENSSHAG00000021247.1)". The record is from RNAcentral. Lineage: Eukaryota; Metazoa; Chordata; Mammalia; Dasyuromorphia; Dasyuridae.
CUGCCCCCACCUUCCAACUUCACAGAGAUGGUGGGAGCCCCCCGGGGCCCUGGGGACUGGGAGGGGGAAGGCCCAGAAGAACGUGGGGGUCUCCAGCCCAGCGGGUCUGUCCCGGGAGCCCCUCUGAGUUAGGCCUAAAGAAAGCAGGUGGGAGACGGGGCGGGGGCUCCCUGGCUGUCCUGCCCCAGACCUUGUGCCAGCGGGCUCAGGCACAGUGGGGGCUCCGAAGGUUCCCGUCCCCUUUCUGGCUCCCUGCCUGAGGGCUGCAGUUUCCCACCAGCCCCAGGGGCACCCCUCUGUCUUCCCCAGGGCCCCUGGGAUUUGCAUUGCCAUUGGGGAGAGGAGGGGGUCUGGCUGUUUCCUGAGCCUGAUCCCUGAAGGGGCUUCCAGGUCCAGCUCCCCCCCCCCCCCCGGGGCAGGCCUGCUUCCCUCCUUGUGCCCACCCCCUUUCCUGUGGGAGUGCUUUGUGUACCAUCUGGGGGUCCUGCCAGGGGGGGGGGGCGGGGAAUUGUCUGGUCUGUGCCCCCCCCCAGGCCCAGAGAUCUGGGUCCUGCUCUGGCUGGGGGAGGGGGGCCAAGAGGGUGGGUACGGGUCUGGGGGGAGGGGCCGAGCCUGCCCUGCCCAUCCCCCUUGACACCACCAGGAGAUUCAGGGCCAUUGGCCCAAGCCCGACCUGUGACCUGGGGGAUCACAAUUGAUGAUGUCACAACCAGACUCCAUUGGCCUCAGUCCUGGGGGUGAGGCCUCAAGGGCUGCCCAGUCCUGCCUGUGCCCAGCCUGGGUUUCAGCCGGGCCAGUCUCGGCUCCAGCCCGGAGCUAGGGACCAGGCAGCGGCAGCGCGUGUGUCUGUGCCACCUGAUAGGGAGGCCUCCAGUGCGGACUGUGCAGCAAGACCCCCCAUGGCAGCUGCAGAGCAGCCUUAGCACAAUCUCCCCAGAGACCAACUGCCCUUCUCGGCCCAGCCAGACUCCACAGUCCUGGGGGUGAGGCGCCCGGGGCUGCUCAGACCUGCCCUGCCCAGCCGGGGUGUCAGUUGGGCCAGCCUCUGCUGCCACCUGAGAAAUCUGAUGGAGGCCCGGGCUGUAGCUGCUGCCAAGCUGCUUGGAAGUCACCCAGGUGGGGAUGCUGGCAAGGCCCUUGGGACAGUAGAAAGGCCGCUCUGGUGAGUUUGUCUGGGCCGGGCGGGCUGUGUGGGCAGAGCCGGACCACCCCUUGCCCCGGGAGGGAGGCCCCUCUCCCAUCUCUGGGGGGCCUUGGCCUCUCCCCUUCCCCGGGGCCCAGGCUCUCUGCGGUGAGGGGGGGGUCUGGCCGCUGGGACCCCGAGAGCCCAGGGGCAGAAACGGCCCGAGUGUCCCCCAGAUGCCCUGGCGGGGGCCUCUGCUCUUUGCCCCCAGGAGGCCACCAGUGCGGAUUGUGCAGCAAGAUCCCCCGUGGCAGCUCCAGAGGAGCGUCAGCACAGAUCUCCGCAGAGACCAACUGCCGAUCUCAUCCCCAGACACAUCAGAAGUUGCCUGCUCCCUGA